This 387-nucleotide ribosomal RNA is filed under the name uncultured bacterium. RNAcentral's name for it is "bacterial SSU rRNA". It matches the Rfam family "Bacterial small subunit ribosomal RNA", at positions 30 to 418 of the family's 1533-position model. The record is from RNAcentral.
AUUGAACGCUGGCGGCAUGCCUUACACAUGCAAGUCGAACGGCAGCACGGGGGCAACCCUGGUGGCGAGUGGCGAACGGGUGAGUAAUAUAUCGGAACGUGCCCUGGAGUGGGGGAUAACGUAGCGAAAGUUACGCUAAUACCGCAUACGAUCUACGGAUGAAAAGUGGGGGAUCGCAAGACCUCAUGCUCGUGGAGCGGCCGAUAUCUGAUUAGCUAGNGGUAGGGUAAAGCCUACCAAGGCAUCGAUCAGUAGCUGGUUUGAGAGAACGACCAGCCACACUGGGACUGAGACACGGCCCAGACUCCUACGGGAGGCAGCAGUGGGGAAUUUUGGACAAUGGGCGCAAGCCUGAUCCAGCAAUGCCGCGUGUGUGAAGAAGGGCCU